GCAGUCCGAGCGGUAGAGAGGUGCUUGCACCUYCUUGAGAGCGGCGGACGGGUGAGUAAUGCCUAGGAAUCUGCCUGAUAGUGGGGGAUAACGUCCGGAAACGGACGCUAAUACCGCAUACGUCCUACGGGAGAAAGCAGGGGACCUUCGGGCCUUGCGCUAUCAGAUGAGCCUAGGUCGGAUUAGCUAGUUGGUGAGGUAAAGGCUCACCAAGGCGACGAUCCGUAACUGGUCUGAGAGGAUGAUCAGUCACACUGGAACUGAGACACGGUCCAGACUCCUACGGGAGGCAGCAGUGGGGAAUAUUGGACAAUGGGCGAAAGCCUGAUCCAGCCAUGCCGCGUGUGUGAAGAAGGUCUUCGGAUUGUAAAGCACUUUAAGUUGGGAGGAAGGGUCGUUACCUAAUACGUGACGAUUUUGACGUUACCGACAGAAUAAGCACCGGCUAACUCUGUGCCAGC
Molecule: ribosomal RNA, 461 nt
Filed under: Pseudomonas sp.
Lineage: Bacteria; Pseudomonadati; Pseudomonadota; Gammaproteobacteria; Pseudomonadales; Pseudomonadaceae
Description: bacterial SSU rRNA
Source: RNAcentral